UAAAACUUGCUCUUUUAGUAUUUGUCCCGUAGGUUUUCUUUAAAGGGAAGCCAUG
Molecule: small nuclear RNA, 55 nt
Organism: Carassius auratus (goldfish)
Lineage: Eukaryota; Metazoa; Chordata; Actinopteri; Cypriniformes; Cyprinidae
Gene: U7
Rfam family: U7 small nuclear RNA
About the family: Animal histone pre-mRNAs are spliced by a different mechanism than nuclear pre-mRNAs and self-splicing introns. This processing involves the U7 snRNP, which contains only one RNA species: U7.
Source: Ensembl